This is a non-coding RNA of Ciona savignyi (Pacific transparent sea squirt), 73 nucleotides long. The record is from Rfam. Lineage: Eukaryota; Metazoa; Chordata; Ascidiacea; Phlebobranchia; Cionidae.
GGCCCGUUGGUCUAGAGGCAUGAUUCUCGCUUUGGGUGCGAGAGGUCCCGGGUUCAAAUCCCGGGACGGGGCC